This 468-nucleotide ribosomal RNA is filed under the name uncultured bacterium. RNAcentral's name for it is "partial 16S ribosomal RNA". It matches the Rfam family "Bacterial small subunit ribosomal RNA", at positions 28 to 507 of the family's 1533-position model. The record is from RNAcentral.
GACGAACGCUGGCGGCGUGCUUAACACAUGCAAGUCGAACGGAAAGGCCCUGCUUUUGUGGGGUGCUCGAGUGGCGAACGGGUGAGUAACACGUGAGUAACCUGCCCUUGACUUUGGGAUAACUUCAGGAAACUGGGGCUAAUACCGGAUAGGAGCUCCUGCUGCAUGGUGGGGGUUGGAAAGGUUCGGCGGUUGGGGAUGGACUCGCGGCUUAUCAGCUUGUUGGUGGGGUAGUGGCUUACCAAGGCUUUGACGGGUAGCCGGCCUGAGAGGGUGACCGGCCACAUUGGGACUGAGAUACGGCCCAGACUCCUACGGGAGGGAGCAGUGGGGAAUAUUGCACAAUGGGCGGAAGCCUGAUGCAGCAACGCCGCGUGCGGGAUGACGGCCUUCGGGUUGUAAACCGCUUUCGCCUGUGACGAAGCGUGAGUGACGGUAAUGGGUAAAGAAGCACCGGCUAACUACGUG